RNAcentral lists this ribosomal RNA (2152 nucleotides) under Escherichia coli. RNAcentral describes it as "partial 23S ribosomal RNA". It matches the Rfam family "Bacterial large subunit ribosomal RNA", at positions 1 to 2167 of the family's 2925-position model. The record is from RNAcentral. Lineage: Bacteria; Pseudomonadati; Pseudomonadota; Gammaproteobacteria; Enterobacterales; Enterobacteriaceae.
GGGUUGUGAGGUUAAGCGACUAAGCGUACACGGUGGAUGCCCUGGCAGUCAGAGGCGAUGAAGGACGUGCUAAUCUGCGAUAAGCGUCGGUAAGGUGAUAUGAACCGUUAUAACCGGCGAUUUCCGAAUGGGGAAACCCAGUGUGUUUCGACACACUAUCAUUAACUGAAUCCAUAGGUUAAUGAGGCGAACCGGGGGAACUGAAACAUCUAAGUACCCCGAGGAAAAGAAAUCAACCGAGAUUCCCCCAGUAGCGGCGAGCGAACGGGGAGGAGCCCAGAGCCUGAAUCAGUGUGUGUGUUAGUGGAAGCGUCUGGAAAGGCGCGCGAUACAGGGUGACAGCCCCGUACACAAAAAUGCACAUACUGUGAGCUCGAUGAGUAGGGCGGGACACGUGGUAUCCUGUCUGAAUAUGGGGGGACCAUCCUCCAAGGCUAAAUACUCCUGACUGACCGAUAGUGAACCAGUACCGUGAGGGAAAGGCGAAAAGAACCCCGGCGAGGGGAGUGAAAAAGAACCUGAAACCGUGUACGUACAAGCAGUGGGAGCCUCUUUUAUGGGGUGACUGCGUACCUUUUGUAUAAUGGGUCAGCGACUUAUAUUCUGUAGCAAGGUUAACCGAAUAGGGGAGCCGAAGGGAAACCGAGUCUUAACUGGGCGUUAAGUUGCAGGGUAUAGACCCGAAACCCGGUGAUCUAGCCAUGGGCAGGUUGAAGGUUGGGUAACACUAACUGGAGGACCGAACCGACUAAUGUUGAAAAAUUAGCGGAUGACUUGUGGCUGGGGGUGAAAGGCCAAUCAAACCGGGAGAUAGCUGGUUCUCCCCGAAAGCUAUUUAGGUAGCGCCUCGUGAAUUCAUCUCCGGGGGUAGAGCACUGUUUCGGCAAGGGGGUCAUCCCGACUUACCAACCCGAUGCAAACUGCGAAUACCGGAGAAUGUUAUCACGGGAGACACACGGCGGGUGCUAACGUCCGUCGUGAAGAGGGAAACAACCCAGACCGCCAGCUAAGGUCCCAAAGUCAUGGUUAAGUGGGAAACGAUGUGGGAAGGCCCAGACAGCCAGGAUGUUGGCUUAGAAGCAGCCAUCAUUUAAAGAAAGCGUAAUAGCUCACUGGUCGAGUCGGCCUGCGCGGAAGAUGUAACGGGGCUAAACCAUGCACCGAAGCUGCGGCAGCGACGCUUAUGCGUUGUUGGGUAGGGGAGCGUUCUGUAAGCCUGCGAAGGUGUGCUGUGAGGCAUGCUGGAGGUAUCAGAAGUGCGAAUGCUGACAUAAGUAACGAUAAAGCGGGUGAAAAGCCCGCUCGCCGGAAGACCAAGGGUUCCUGUCCAACGUUAAUCGGGGCAGGGUGAGUCGACCCCUAAGGCGAGGCCGAAAGGCGUAGUCGAUGGGAAACAGGUUAAUAUUCCUGUACUUGGUGUUACUGCGAAGGGGGGACGGAGAAGGCUAUGUUGGCCGGGCGACGGUUGUCCCGGUUUAAGCGUGUAGGCUGGUUUUCCAGGCAAAUCCGGAAAAUCAAGGCUGAGGCGUGAUGACGAGGCACUACGGUGCUGAAGCAACAAAUGCCCUGCUUCCAGGAAAAGCCUCUAAGCAUCAGGUAACAUCAAAUCGUACCCCAAACCGACACAGGUGGUCAGGUAGAGAAUACCAAGGCGCUUGAGAGAACUCGGGUGAAGGAACUAGGCAAAAUGGUGCCGUAACUUCGGGAGAAGGCACGCUGAUAUGUAGGUGAAGCGACUUGCUCGUGGAGCUGAAAUCAGUCGAAGAUACCAGCUGGCUGCAACUGUUUAUUAAAAACACAGCACUGUGCAAACACGAAAGUGGACGUAUACGGUGUGACGCCUGCCCGGUGCCGGAAGGUUAAUUGAUGGGGUUAGCGGUAACGCGAAGCUCUUGAUCGAAGCCCCGGUAAACGGCGGCCGUAACUAUAACGGUCCUAAGGUAGCGAAAUUCCUUGUCGGGUAAGUUCCGACCUGCACGAAUGGCGUAAUGAUGGCCAGGCUGUCUCCACCCGAGACUCAGUGAAAUUGAACUCGCUGUGAAGAUGCAGUGUACCCGCGGCAAGACGGAAAGACCCCGUGAACCUUUACUAUAGCUUGACACUGAACAUUGAGCCUUGAUGUGUAGGAUAGGUGGGAGGCUUUGAAGUGUGG